AGCGAACGCUGGCGGCAGGCUUAACACAUGCAAGUCGAGCGGGCACUUUCGGGUGUCAGCGGCGGACGGGUGGGUAACGCGUGGGAACGUGCCCUCUGGUUCGGAAUAACUCAGGGAAACUUGAGCUAAUACCGGAUACGCCCUUUUGGGGAAAGGCCUGCUGCCGGAGGAUCGGCCCGCGUCUGAUUAGCUAGUUGGUGAGGUAACGGCACACCAAGGCGACGAUCCGUAGCUGUGCUGAGAGGAUGAUCCGCCACACUGGGACUGAGACACGGCCCAGACUCCUACGGGAGGCAGCAGUGGGGAAUAUUGGACAAUGGGCGCAAGCCUGAUCCAGCCAGGCCGCGUGAGUGAUGAAGGCCUUAGGGUUGUAAAGCUCUUUUAUCCGGGACGAUAAUGACGGUACCGGAGGAAUAAGCCCCGGCUAACUUCGUG
Molecule: ribosomal RNA, 435 nt
Filed under: uncultured bacterium
Lineage: Bacteria
Description: partial 16S ribosomal RNA
Rfam family: Bacterial small subunit ribosomal RNA
Source: RNAcentral